RNAcentral lists this ribosomal RNA (425 nucleotides) under uncultured bacterium. RNAcentral's name for it is "partial 16S ribosomal RNA". It matches the Rfam family "Bacterial small subunit ribosomal RNA", at positions 354 to 796 of the family's 1533-position model. The record is from RNAcentral.
GUAGGGAAUAUUGGGCAAUGGAGGCAACUCUGACCCAGCCAUGUCGCGUGAGUGAUGAAGGCCCUAGGGUUGUAAAGCUCUUUCACCGGUGAAGAUAAUGACGGUAACCGGAGAAGAAGCCCCGGCUAACUUCGUGCCAGCAGCCGCGGUAAUACGAAGGGGGCUAGCGUUGUUCGGAAUUACUGGGCGUAAAGCGCACGUAGGCGGGUAUUUAAGUCAGGGGUGAAAUCCCGGAGCUCAACUCCGGAACUGCCUUUGAUACUGGGUACCUAGAGUAUGGAAGAGGUAAGUGGAAUUCCGAGUGUAGAGGUGAAAUUCGUAGAUAUUCGGAGGAACACCAGUGGCGAAGGCGGCUUACUGGUCCAUUACUGACGCUGAGGUGCGAAAGCGUGGGGAGCAAACAGGAUUAGAAACCCGAGUAGUCC